RNAcentral lists this ribosomal RNA (253 nucleotides) under uncultured bacterium. RNAcentral's name for it is "partial 16S ribosomal RNA". It matches the Rfam family "Bacterial small subunit ribosomal RNA", at positions 524 to 776 of the family's 1533-position model. The record is from RNAcentral.
UACGGAGGGUGCGAGCGUUAUCCGGAAUUACUGGGUUUAAAGGGUGCGUAGGCGGCUUGGUAAGUCAGGAGUGAAAGUUUGCGGCUCAACCGUAAAAUUGCUUUUGAUACUGCCAGGCUAGAAUCAGGAUGAGGUCAGCGGAAUGUGGCAUGUAGCGGUGAAAUGCAUAGAUAUGCCAUAGAACACCAAUUGCGAAGGCAGCUGGCUAGACCUGUAUUGACGCUGAGGCACGAAAGCGUGGGGAGCGAACAGG